Sardina pilchardus (European sardine) is the source of this 797-nucleotide long non-coding RNA. RefSeq lists it as uncharacterized. The transcript is spliced from 3 exons. The record is from RefSeq and is a predicted model, not a curated record. NCBI's taxonomy places the organism in Eukaryota, Metazoa, Chordata, Actinopteri, Clupeiformes, Clupeidae.
UUUAGUUUUAAAACAUUGCCAGUGUAGCAGGACUAGGUUCAUGCCCCUUUUAGUUAGCUUGGCAGUGCCCUUCUGAGUGGCUCUGGGCAAUUGGAGGUGAGCCAAUCAGUACGUGGGAGCGGCUAUAAAGUCUUAGCUUUUAUUUUGAAGGCUGACGUCGUAGCUCCAUUGUUUGCCUGACUCCAGCCUUCACCGCUCCCCGUAUUGGCUUCUCCUCUGACCGGUUCCGUGUGUCCGCCGACUUCUCGGAGUGCAGCUAGCCGCUGAACAUGGGCCUUAUGACUGACCACACCUGAGCGCAGAUCUCGGGCGUAACAGGGAGCGGCAACAUCAAGGCAUCUUGGUUCCAGUUCAAACGCUACUGUUUUGUUUUGUUUUGUGUUUGUUUUGUGUGUCUCAUUCCGUUUGUUGAAUCGGCUGUGUUAGCCACCACUAAGUUGAUUAACUGAAGUGACGACAGGUGUGUUACUGUUUGCUCACUGAGUGACUACGUAUUCAGUCCGGUUGCGGAGGCUAUUAGCUUGUUACACUGCAUGUCCUGAGUGUCACCAUUCCCUGCGUGUAGUGAUUGCGGUGAUUUACACUGUUUGCCGUGACAAUUUGAUGCAUUUGAUGUGCUAUUUAUUCACUAGUGUCUCAUUCCUGGAAUAGCCACCUCUACUGACUUUAGCGAACCCACACUGGAGAGUACUAGCGAACCCACACUGGAGAGUACUAUACUGACUUGAGCGAACCCACACUGGAGAGAACUCAAUCCUUAUGUUUUUAAUGUGAAUAAAUAAGAGUUUAUUUUUGGA